GUGGGGAAUCUUGCGCAAUGGGCGAAAGCCUGACGCAGCCAUGCCGCGUGAAUGAUGAAGGUCUUAGGAUUGUAAAAUUCUUUCACCGGGGACGAUAAUGACGGUACCCGGAGAAGAAGCUCCGGCUAACUUCGUGCCAGCAGCCGCGGUAAUACGAAGGGGGCUAGCGUUGCUCGGAAUUACUGGGCGUAAAGGGCGCGUAGGCGGACAGCUUAGUCAGAGGUGAAAGCCCAGGGCUCAACCUUGGAAUUGCCUUUGAUACUGGCUGUCUUGAGUUUGGGAGAGGUGAGUGGAACUCCGAGUGUAGAGGUGAAAUUCGUAGAUAUUCGGAAGAACACCAGUGGCGAAGGCGACUCACUGGCCCAAUACUGACGCUGAGGCGCGAAAGUGUGGGGAGCAAACAGGAUUAGAAACCCCGGUAGUCC
This 425-nucleotide ribosomal RNA is filed under the name uncultured bacterium. RNAcentral describes it as "partial 16S ribosomal RNA". It matches the Rfam family "Bacterial small subunit ribosomal RNA", at positions 354 to 796 of the family's 1533-position model. The record is from RNAcentral.